This is a long non-coding RNA of Mauremys reevesii (Reeves's turtle), 435 nucleotides long. RefSeq lists it as uncharacterized. The transcript is spliced from 4 exons. The record is from RefSeq and is a predicted model, not a curated record. NCBI's taxonomy places the organism in Eukaryota, Metazoa, Chordata, Testudines, Geoemydidae.
GAUGUGAGGAAACGCCCAUGGGUUCUCACAAGGCCACUGAAAAGGCACUGGACCCCAAUGCCUUACAAGCCACGUGUUCUCACCUGCACAGGCUCCAGGGUCCUAGAAGUAUCCUGGGCGGUUAGCUCUAGGAGGGGAGCAGCGAGAUGCACUUCGUGCUUGUGAGACAUAGGAGCCAAUCCCUGAGUCAGAAUAUGAAAAAUCAGCCUCCUCUGACCACCAGGGUAACUAUCCACUAAUAACAACAAAGAACCAACAGGGCCUAAGGCACAUCUCUCUGGAAGCUGUCCCCAUCACUCUCAAGAGGGCUAUAAGAGUGCUGCACAUUAACCAGGGGUUCUCACCCCAGCUAAAAUGGGAUUGACUGUGCAAGCUGCCUGGUUCUUGAAGCACAGAGCUGUCUUUCUCAGAUUAUGGACAAACAGGAAAAUGAAG